Long non-coding RNA from Anthonomus grandis grandis, 390 nucleotides. RefSeq lists it as uncharacterized. The record is from RefSeq and is a predicted model, not a curated record. The transcript is spliced from 3 exons. NCBI's taxonomy places the organism in Eukaryota, Metazoa, Arthropoda, Insecta, Coleoptera, Curculionidae.
AAGACAGUCAUAGAUAAAGGUUUCAAAGGGCUUCGGUAUAGCACUAAGAGUGCUUAUUGGCCUAUAGUUUGCGAUAGAAGAUCUGUCUCUAGAUUUAAUAAUUAGAAUUAUAAAACUCGAUUUCCAACGAUGGUGGAAAAUUUCCUUCAAAGAUAUGGUAGGACUCCCUUAGGGCCUGGCCGCUUAUGAAUAUUAAGAACAUCAGUUUCUUAAGGACAUCAGAUAUGCUAACAUUAGUGGAGAAUAUAUAAUUAUUUUUUGCUUUGUACAACUUAUAACCUUAAAAUUAUUGUUUAUUUAUGUACUGUGAAGUGUGUGGAUGGCUUCUAAAGGCCUGAUGAUGCUCUAACUAGAGCGAAACACGUGUAGCCCGUUAAAUUACAUGUUGUG